Molecule: unclassified non-coding RNA, 284 nt
Filed under: Hevea brasiliensis (rubber tree)
Lineage: Eukaryota; Viridiplantae; Streptophyta; Magnoliopsida; Malpighiales; Euphorbiaceae
Source: RNAcentral
GGGAUGGUUUGCGAACAAAGGACACAGAAAGGGUGCUGGUUCUUGCAGCCACAAACAGACCUUUUGACCUUGAUGAAGCUGUUAUUCGAAGGCUUCCUCGUAGGUUGAUGGUGAAUUUGCCAGAUGCUCCAAACAGAGCAAAAAUACUUAAAGUUAUUUUGGCAAAAGAAGAUUUGUCUCCAGAAUUUGAUUUUGAUUCGGUUGCUAGUAUGACAGAUGGAUACUCUGGGAGUGACCUUAAGAAUCUUUGUGUUGCUGCUGCUCACCGUCCAAUUAAAGAGAUA